UUGCCAUCAUUCAGUUGGGCACUCUAGCGAGACUGCCGGUAAUAAACCGGAGGAAGGUGGGGAUGACGUCAAGUCCUCAUGGCCCUUAUGGGUAGGGCUUCACACGUCAUACAAUGGUCGGUACAGAGGGUUGCCAAGCCGCGAGGUGGAGCCAAUCCCUUAAAGCCGAUCGUAGUCCGGAUCGUAGUCUGCAACUCGACUACGUGAAGUCGGAAUCGCUAGUAAUCGCAGAUCAGCAUGCUGCGGUGAAUACGUUCCCGGGCCUU
RNAcentral lists this ribosomal RNA (266 nucleotides) under uncultured Thauera sp. RNAcentral's name for it is "partial 16S ribosomal RNA". It matches the Rfam family "Bacterial small subunit ribosomal RNA", at positions 1115 to 1382 of the family's 1533-position model. The record is from RNAcentral. Lineage: Bacteria; Pseudomonadati; Pseudomonadota; Betaproteobacteria; Rhodocyclales; Zoogloeaceae.